GACAGAGGUUGCAAACGUUGUUCGGAAUUACUGGGCAUAAAGCGCACGUAGGCGGUCCGUUAAGUCGUGUGUGAAAUCCCCCGGCUCAACCGGGGAAUUGCGCCUGAUACUGGCGGGCUAGAGGUCGAUAGGGGUGAGCGGAACUCCAGGUGGAGCGGUGAAAUGCGUAGAUAUCUGGAGGAACACCGGUGGCGAAAGCGGCUCACUGGAUCGAAACUGACGCUGAGGUGCGAAAGCUAGGGUAGCAAACGGG
This 253-nucleotide ribosomal RNA is filed under the name uncultured bacterium. Its description in RNAcentral is "partial 16S ribosomal RNA". It matches the Rfam family "Bacterial small subunit ribosomal RNA", at positions 524 to 776 of the family's 1533-position model. The record is from RNAcentral.